Scleropages formosus (Asian bonytongue) is the source of this 1336-nucleotide long non-coding RNA. Lineage: Eukaryota; Metazoa; Chordata; Actinopteri; Osteoglossiformes; Osteoglossidae. The record is from Ensembl.
UUCUUCUAGAGGUGUCCAACAGCUCCUUUGUGCUCAACUUUACCUUCUCGAUGGGGAACGUCACCAUCUCUCCGAAUGAUCAGGUCAUGAAUGCCACUUACAGCCAGAUCCAGGACACCAUCAAUACUCUGAUGAACAGAAUGCUGAACAGUCAACCAGCAACUCCCGUCGUCUUUCCACGGGCAAAUUUCACCGUGACGGGUGACCAGGUGGAGGCCGUCGUGAGUUACGUCGUUCGAAAGGGCGACGUCAGCAACCCGAGCCCUUACCUCUCCGAGAUGCUGAGAAUCAGCGGUCUUGAUGUUACCACGACAGCAGCAACAGCAACAGCAGCCACAACCCUUCCGACCGCAGCAGGAACGACUGGGUCUCAGACCACGGGAUCAGCGCGUCUCGUCAUCCUCCUGACGUUUGAAAAUGCAAAUCCAUUGCUCAAUGAGAGUGGCGUGCUGAAUGCAACAAACACUUUCUUGGACUCGCGACUCACGGCCUCGAACAGCUCGCAGAGGCUCCAGAGUUACACUUAUAAAGGUGAGUUUGCCGACACUGUACGCCACUCCUCAUGUCCCCGAUUUCGCCUUUUCCUUGGCGGCCGGCUGCAAAACGUGUACGUGGGGCAGGAAAGCAGUUUUAUGCUAUUGCUAUUUUUUGCACAAGUCUCAGGCCCGGGAGUCAGCGUGUUUCAGCGCUCACCGGAAUCUGAUUAACUGAACGUCAUGGAAACGCAUUAACGAUGCCGGGCUCUCCCUCUCUCUUCCUCCUAGCACAGCUCCGGAAAGUACGGUGUUAGCCGUGCACCUUGCACCCAGAACAGGUGUUCCACCUGUACUGCUUCAAGUAGCGUAAAGCAAGGCUCAACAUUGUAUUUCCGCUGUUCUUCUAGAGGUGUCCAACAGCUCCUUUGUGCUCAACUUUACCUUCUCGAUGGGGAACGUCACCAUCUCUCCGAAUGAUCAGGUCAUGAAUGCCACUUACAGCCAGAUCCAGGACACCAUCAAUACUCUGGUGAGGUCGCCAGUCAUCGCAGAGGACAUAGGAGCCGCGCACAUGUUCACACUCCGUCUUGGCGCUACAGCGAAUGUAGCAGCAGCUAUACUUUUGCUAUUCCCUGAAUAUGGCAAGGCAGUAGUUUUCACGCGUUUGCGUAGCUCUCGUAGGCUUCUAAGGCCGAUUCUUGCCUAACCCGUCAUCUCGUUUUCUCUCUCGUUGGAUGUUCAAACCCCAGAUGAACAGAAUGCUGAACAGUCAACCAGCAACUCCCGUCGUCUUUCCACGGGCAAAUUUCACGUAAGUCACGUUCUCCCGGUGGCAAGCUAAAUGCGAAGUGGCAAAAAUG